GAGGGUAUAGCGCAAGUGGCAGAGUACGUGCUUAGCAUGCACGGGGCCCUGGGUUCAAUCCCCAGGACCUCCU
Molecule: transfer RNA, 73 nt
Organism: Camelus ferus (Wild Bactrian camel)
Lineage: Eukaryota; Metazoa; Chordata; Mammalia; Artiodactyla; Camelidae
Rfam family: tRNA
About the family: Transfer RNA (tRNA) molecules are approximately 80 nucleotides in length. Their secondary structure includes four short double-helical elements and three loops (D, anti-codon, and T loops).
Source: Rfam